Molecule: long non-coding RNA, 455 nt
Filed under: Sinocyclocheilus anshuiensis
Lineage: Eukaryota; Metazoa; Chordata; Actinopteri; Cypriniformes; Cyprinidae
Description: lncRNA (ENSSANG00000037121.1)
Source: RNAcentral
GUUUCUGGUUGCAUUGUGAGAAUCGUUCUGUCUGUUUUUGUCCUGCAGUGGGUUUGAGCAACCCAGAGUUACUAAAUGAACUGAAACAACCACCCACGCUCAAACACGUCCCCGCGCACACGGGACUGAAAACCGUGUUCAGGGGACGAGGACGACAGAAUCAGACGGCAGAGAGUCAGUCCGUCAGUGAUAAGCCCCACCCUCUGCAGUGAUGUGGGCGGGUGGAUUGCUCUGGUUAUGAGGACCUUUAGUGAACACAUCUGUCAUGUUUGUGUGCAAAUAUGAAAACAGUUUGUCAAUCUGUAGCACAUAUGAUGUUUAAACAAUGUAUGUCAUAUCAAAUAUGAAAUAAAAAUCAAAGCUGAGGUGGUGUGUGUGUGUGUGUGUGUGUGUGUGUGUGUGUGAGAGUGUGUGUGUCAGAACUCAAGUGGCCAAAUGGAAUUUUAAAUGGAAUU